AUACGUAGGUGGCAAGCGUUAUCCGGAUUUACUGGGUGUAAAGGGCGCGUAGGCGGGGGUGCAAGUCAGAUGUGAAAUCUAUGGGCUUAACUCAUAAACUGCAUUUGAAACUGUAUCUCUUGAGUGCUGGAGAGGUAGACGGAAUUCCUUGUGUGGCGGUGAAAUGCGUAGAUAUAAGGAAGAACACCAGUGGCGAAGGCGGUCUACUGGACAGUAACUGACGCUGAGGCGCGAAAGCGUGGGGAGCAAACAGGAUUAGAUACCCUGGUAGUCCACGCUGUAAACGAUGAAUACUAGGUGUGGGGGGACUGACCCCCUCUGUGCCGCAGUUAACACAAUAAGUAUUCCACCUGGGGAGUACGGCCGCAAGGUUGAAACUCAAAUGAAUUGACGGGG
RNAcentral lists this ribosomal RNA (396 nucleotides) under uncultured bacterium. RNAcentral's name for it is "partial 16S ribosomal RNA". It matches the Rfam family "Bacterial small subunit ribosomal RNA", at positions 523 to 918 of the family's 1533-position model. The record is from RNAcentral.